This 497-nucleotide ribosomal RNA is filed under the name uncultured bacterium. RNAcentral's name for it is "partial 16S ribosomal RNA". It matches the Rfam family "Bacterial small subunit ribosomal RNA", at positions 28 to 507 of the family's 1533-position model. The record is from RNAcentral.
GACGAACGCUGGCGGCGUGCCUAAUACAUGCAAGUAGAACGCUGAAGAGAGGAGCUUGCUCUUCUUGGAUGAGUUGCGAACGGGUGAGUAACGCGUAGGUAACCUGCCUUGUAGCGGGGGAUAACUAUUGGAAACGAUAGCUAAUACCGCAUAACAAUGGAUGACACAUGUCAUUUAAUUGAAAGGGGCAAUUGCUCCACCACAAGAUGGAACCGCGUUGUAUUAGCUAGUAGGUGAGGUAAUGGCCCAACUAAGCGACGAUACAGAGCCGGCCUUGAGGGGGGGUUCGCCACACCGGGACUGGGACACGGCCCAGACUCCCACGGGAGGCAGCAGUAGGGGAUCUUCGGCAAUAGGGGCAACCCUGACCGGGCAACGCCGCGUGAGUGAAGAAGGUUUUCGGAUCGUAAAGCUCUGUUGUAAGUCAAGAACGGGUGUGAGAGUGGAAAGUUCACACUGUGACGGUAGCUUACCAGAAAGGGACGGCUAACUACGUG